RNAcentral lists this long non-coding RNA (203 nucleotides) under Elaeis guineensis (African oil palm). RNAcentral's name for it is "long non-coding RNA (EGUI_LNC033269)". The record is from RNAcentral. Lineage: Eukaryota; Viridiplantae; Streptophyta; Magnoliopsida; Arecales; Arecaceae.
CACCAUGAGUCCGCUAAUAGCUUUAGUAUUAUUUGUAUCAUCAAUCUCAAAAACUGCAGUAUGUUUUAUCCUUACAUAGUGUAACCAUAAACUUAGAAGAGUUUAGGAGGCGGUCCUCUGUGUCACCGGUGAAGGUUCAAUUGAGAGGUCUCCCAAAAGAAUGGUUAAGAACCCGUAUGGAGCUCCAUUGCAUUCUUGAUGGA